RNAcentral lists this ribosomal RNA (466 nucleotides) under uncultured bacterium. RNAcentral describes it as "partial 16S ribosomal RNA". The record is from RNAcentral.
GACUACCGGGGUAUCUAAGCCUGUUUGCUCCCCCAGCUUUCGUGCCUCAGCGUCAGUAUCAGUCCAGAGAGCCGCCUUCGCCACCGGUGUUCCUCUCGAUAUCUACGCAUUUCACCGCUACACCGAGAAUUCCGCUCUCCCCUCCUGUACUCCAGCCUCGUAGUUUCGAAUGCAAUUCCACAGUUGAGCUGUGAGCUUUCACAUCCGACACACGAAACCGCCUACGCACCCUUUACGCCCAGUAAAUCCGAACAACGCUCGCCGCCUCUGUAUUACCGCGGCUGCUGGCACAGAGUUAGCCGUGGCUUCCUCUUGAGGUACUAUCACCCCGAAAUGGUGUUAACAUUCCGGACAUUGUUCCCUCAUGACAGCAGUUUACGACCCGAAGGCCUUCAUCCUGCACGCGGCGUCGCACCGUCACGCUUUCGCGCAUUGCGAAUGAUCCUCGACUGCAGCCCCCCGUAGG